RNAcentral lists this transfer RNA (72 nucleotides) under Dryobates pubescens (Downy woodpecker). RNAcentral describes it as "Picoides pubescens (downy woodpecker) tRNA". It matches the Rfam family "tRNA". Rfam says of the family: Transfer RNA (tRNA) molecules are approximately 80 nucleotides in length. Their secondary structure includes four short double-helical elements and three loops (D, anti-codon, and T loops). The record is from Rfam by way of RNAcentral. Lineage: Eukaryota; Metazoa; Chordata; Aves; Piciformes; Picidae.
GCAUCUGUUCUUCAGUGGUAGAACACCCCUGUGUUAUGUGGGAAGGCCUGGGUUCAAUUCCUGGCUGGUGCA